GACGAACGCUGGCGGCGUGCCUAACACAUGCAAGUCGAGCGAGAUCCAUCCAGUGGCAACACUGGUGAAGAUCUAGCGGCGAACGGGUGAGUAACACGUGAGAAACCUGCCCCGGAGACCGGGAUAACCCGAGGAAACUCGGGCUAAUACCGGAUACCCCAUCUCAUCGCAUGUUGAGAUGAGGAAAUGCUCCGACGCUCCGGGAGGUCUCGCGGCCUAUCAGGUAGUUGGUGAGGUAACGGCUCACCAAGCCGAAGACGGGUAGCUGGUCUGAGAGGACGAUCAGCCACACUGGGACUGAGACACGGCCCAGACUCCUACGGGAGGCAGCAGUGGGGAAUCUUGCGCAAUGGGCGAAAGCCUGACGCAGCAACGCCGCGUGCGGGAUGAAGGCUCUCGGGUUGUAAACCGCUUUCAGGAGGGACGAAAUUGACGGUACCUCCAGAAGAAGCCCCCGGCCAACUACGUGCCAGCAGCCGCGGUAACACGUAGGGGGCGAGCGUUGUCCGGAUUUAUUGGGGCGUAAAGAGCUCGUAGGCGGUUAGGAAAGUCGGGUGUGAAAGCUCGAGGCUCAACCUCGAGACGCCACUCGAUACUUCCUUGACUGGAGUCCGGUAGAGGAGUGCGGAAUUCCUGGUGUAGCGGUGAAAUGCGCAGAUAUCAGGAGGAACACCAACGGCGAAGGCAGCACUCUGGGCCGGUACUGACGCUGAGGAGCGAAAAGCGUGGUGAGCAAACAGGAUUAGAUA
Molecule: ribosomal RNA, 749 nt
Filed under: uncultured bacterium
Lineage: Bacteria
Description: bacterial SSU rRNA
Rfam family: Bacterial small subunit ribosomal RNA
Source: RNAcentral